CCUACGGGAGGCAGCAGUGGGGAAUAUUGGACAAUGGGCGAAAGCCUGAUCCAGCCAUGCCGCGUGUGUGAAGAAGGCCUUCGGGUUGUAAAGCACUUUCAGUGGGGAAGAAAGCCUUGGGGCUAAUACCCUCGAGGAAGGACAUCACCCACAGAAGAAGCACCGGCUAACUCCGUGCCAGCAGCCGCGGUAAUACGGAGGGUGCGAGCGUUAAUCGGAAUUACUGGGCGUAAAGCGCGCGUAGGCGGUCUGAUAAGCCGGUUGUGAAAGCCCCGGGCUCAACCUGGGAACGGCAUCCGGACCUGUCAGGCUAGAGUGCAGGAGGGGAAGGUGGAAUUCCCGGUGUAGCGGUGAAAUGCGUAGAGAUCGGGAGGAAUACCAGUGGCGAAGGCGGCCUUCGGGACUGACACGGACGCUGAGGUGCGAAAGCGUGGGUAGCAAACAGGAUUAGAUACCCUAGUAGU
RNAcentral lists this ribosomal RNA (464 nucleotides) under Vreelandella stevensii. RNAcentral's name for it is "partial 16S ribosomal RNA". It matches the Rfam family "Bacterial small subunit ribosomal RNA", at positions 338 to 794 of the family's 1533-position model. The record is from RNAcentral. Lineage: Bacteria; Pseudomonadati; Pseudomonadota; Gammaproteobacteria; Oceanospirillales; Halomonadaceae.